GUUAAUGUAUGUGUUCAUGUGACUUCCAUUGUGUUAAGAUGAGUGAAUGUGUUCUCCUUUUCUUCAAGGAACAUUAUUUUGACCCUCAAACUGGAAAUGGUUACUUGUCCUCCGAACCAUCCAGAGGAAUUCAGCUUCACCUGAUAAAUUACCACCUAGCCAGUCAUUCAGUGGUGGGCCAAUAGCUGAGAUGGAGACUCCAUCCCAUCCAGAGAUUACCCUGAUUUGGUGAAAAGUGUAGGGAAUCCAUUUCCCUGAUGAAGCAUUCUUCUGAUGAGGUCACCAACAAGCAGAAGAUGAAGAUGACAUUUGAAUACAGACGGAAGAUGACUCAUGACCCAAGUAAAUGCUGCGAGUUGCUGACUGGAUUUCCACAAUUCAUGGAUAUGAAGUGCCUGGAUGGACAGUGACCUCUCCUCCAUCCUCCUCCAGCUCCUUUUGAUUCCCCCUUCAUCACAAGGCCACAAAAGACCAGGCAAGGCAGGAAACAGUAUCCAGAAACACAUUGAUGCUAUUGCCCAAAGCAGUUAACCGUACCUCCUUGCUGUCAGGACCAAGAGGAGCAGCAUCCAUAGUUACUUGAUCAUCCUGGACAAGCAAGCUCUGCCAUCAAACUCUACAAGUGCCUUUUUUUAAAACGUUAGUUUAUUUGUUAAAUAUUUCCUUUACUCUUCUUGAACUGCGCUGUUGGUUAAGGGCUUGUAAGUAAGAAUUUCACAGUAAUGUCUACAGUUGUUGUAUUUGGCGCAUGUGAGAAAUAAAGUUUGAUUUG
Oncorhynchus nerka (sockeye salmon) is the source of this 772-nucleotide long non-coding RNA. RefSeq lists it as uncharacterized. The record is from RefSeq and is a predicted model, not a curated record. Lineage: Eukaryota; Metazoa; Chordata; Actinopteri; Salmoniformes; Salmonidae. The transcript is spliced from 3 exons.